Molecule: long non-coding RNA, 313 nt
Organism: Aricia agestis (brown argus)
Lineage: Eukaryota; Metazoa; Arthropoda; Insecta; Lepidoptera; Lycaenidae
Exons: 3
Source: RefSeq, a predicted model, not a curated record
UGUAAUUUCAUGGUUUCAAGAGGAUAAAAAACGGAAUAUCUAUUCCUAAAAAAUGUAUAGCGUCGUUGAAUUUAGUGAGGAUGACAGCGUCGCUAUUGUGCGCUCGUCUUGGAUUUCACCCACUAAGAAACAUAGUGCUUGGCCUCCAUUUAAAAAUUCCGAAAAGAUCAAGAAAUGUCUUACGGGCACAAUUUUAGAUGAUGACACGUGGAAUGUUUUUGGAAUUCGACGCAUUUUUUAUGUAACUGAUGACCUUCUCAGUGCUAGAAAUAUAUGUAAAGAAGCCGAACUUAAUUCCGAAGUAGAACUAGAC